UUUGGAGUGCAGUAUGUUUAAUUAUGAAAUUUCUACCAUUACCGUUUCAUAAGAAUAGUAGAGAAAAUCCAUCAAAGAGGGGAAGGAAGGGAAUUAACAUUUAGGGAGGAUCUAUUCCAUGCCAACAUUUUGCUGGGACUGUUACAUAGAGAAUGCUAUUUUAUUCUCACAACCACCACGGAAGGUAAGUAUUACCUGCUCCCUGUCCUCCUUUUAGGUGAGGAAAAAGGUUUAUUAAGGUUAGAUAAGUCACUCAUGGUCAUCCACUCAUAGUGACUAGGCAGGAAUUCACAUGUGGCUCUCUUUUCACUCUUCCCUGGUGUCCCGAGGAGAAAACUGAGCAGGGUCUUAAUAAAAUAAGAUCUCCAUUAUGUUACAGCAGCCUGGCUGUUAAAAUAAAUAACACCAUUCAAUAAAAAUAUCCAUGUUAUACAUCUAUGGAACACUAAUUUCUAGUUAUAUUCAUGCUAUUUAUUUUAAUGCUAAUCAGAAGAACAGAUAAUAGGGUCUGUAGUGGUUGUAAACAGCCCUUGAAUAUAAAAGUAUUCAUUUUACCCAACUCCAAGAGGACCAGACAUCGGCAUUCCUGUGAGGUAGAUGCAGCAUUUAGAAUUGUUCCCGCUACCCUCUGAAUCGCAUUCUCCCCAACCAAGGCAGACCCAUGGCGCGGUGGGGGGGCGUGGAGAGAAAGGAUGGUAACUUGAGGACUAAGCCCAACGAAUUACAGCAGAAAUAAGGGAAGGUCGUUGAAGGUCAGUGAGUCUCCGAGUGACAUUUUGGAUCAGCUUCAAUUCUCUGCAUUCUGCUCUUGCUGAAGUAUCACUUGUUUCUAGAGACCACAGUGAAUUCCAACUUCAAGGUUCGUCAGGUGGAACUGGACACACUGAAGGAGUUUGGGAACAGAUGGGGGAAAUGUGCUCCCUCACCAUGAGCCACCCUACCCAUUUCCUUGCCCCUAUCUAUCUGUCCUUGGUGGGGUGAUGACUGACCUCUACUGACUUGGCCCUAAGAACACAAGCUGCAGAGACAGGUAAGGCGAACUUACACCCCAACGAGCCCACUAAUGCCUUGCCUGUCUCCACUCCGCUAGCAAACAGAGCCGAGAAUCCAGCUCAGCCAAAGGCCUGAGAAGGAAGCAUACAAGCAUGAAAAAUACGGUUCUUUCCAAAGGCAGUUCGGUCAAGGUGUGAGUUUAAGAGUCAUCUAUCAUUCGUAGCACUCCCUGUCUUUAUUUACUGCUGCUCACUCCUCUGAGGUUUAACCGCCCAUAAACCCGGCUUAACUGCAGAAGCAAGAUGGCCUGGGGACCUCGGCGUGCAUUUGAAGAAACCCCGCUGCGCUUCCUUGAAUUCUCUUCUAGGUUCCUCACCCGAUGUUCUCUAUCUCCUUUGAGACUCAUGGCCUUUUAUAGCCUUCUUAUAAUAGGCGUCCUAAUUCCCGCCAUUUUGGGUUAUUUUAGAGGCCAGAAGGUCCCGACUCACGUGCGUGCCCCAAAGCCCCCAGCCUCAGGCGUGGCCGCCCGUGGGCGCAUUGGUAACCGCGGGUGGAAUGGAACAGGCUCCUCCAACGUCUUUUUCCACCCCUGGUUUCCGUUAAAUAUUUGCUCUGGGGACAGCGCGCAGCCUCCACACGGCCAGCCUCUCGGAGGCGAGGCUGGACCUGGGGAGGACAGCGGCCGAGGGUUAAGGGCGCACUUCCUG
Equus asinus (donkey) is the source of this 1700-nucleotide long non-coding RNA. The record is from Ensembl. NCBI's taxonomy places the organism in Eukaryota, Metazoa, Chordata, Mammalia, Perissodactyla, Equidae.